UACAUACUGUGCGAACGUUAUUCGGAUUUACUGGGCUUAAAGGGUGCGUAGGCGGCUUGUUAAGUAGGGUGUGAAAGCCCUCAGCUCAACUGGGGAAUUGCAUUCUAUACUGGUGAGCUAGAGUGAGAUAGGGGUGUGUGGAACUGCCAGUGGAGCGGUGAAAUGUGUUGAUAUUGGCAGGAACGCCGGUGGCGAAAGCGACACACUGGGUCUCUACUGACGCUGAGGCACGAAAGCCAGGGGAGCGAACGGGAUUAGAUACCCCGGUAGUCCUGGCCGUAAACGCUGAGUACUCGUUUGGAGCGACUGCGGUCGCUGCAGACUUAGAGAAAUCGUUAAGUACUCCGCCUGGGGAGUAUGGUCGCAAGGCUG
This 372-nucleotide ribosomal RNA is filed under the name uncultured prokaryote. RNAcentral's name for it is "bacterial SSU rRNA". It matches the Rfam family "Bacterial small subunit ribosomal RNA", at positions 524 to 896 of the family's 1533-position model. The record is from RNAcentral.